GUCAAAGAGGAUUUUUACUCUCGCGCAGGUGUAAGUGGGUGGUUUUUACUCUCAUGCAGGUGUGAGUGGGUGGUUUUUACUCUCAUGCAGGUGUGAGUGGGUAGUUUUUACUCUCGUGCAGGUGUGAGUGGGUGGUUUUUACUCUCAUGCAGGUGUGAGUGGGUAGUUUUUACUCUCGUGCAGGUGUGAGUGGGUGGUUUUAACUCUCAUGCAGGUGAGUGGGUGGUUUUUAUUUUCAUGCGAGUGUGAGUGGGUGGUUUUUACGCUCGUGCAGGUGUGAGUGGGUGGUUUUGAGACUCAAGCAGGUGUGAGUGCAUGGUUUUUAUGCUUGUGCAGGUGACAGUGGGUGGUUUUUACGCUCAUG
Long non-coding RNA from Ictalurus punctatus (channel catfish), 364 nucleotides. The record is from Ensembl. Lineage: Eukaryota; Metazoa; Chordata; Actinopteri; Siluriformes; Ictaluridae.